RNAcentral lists this ribosomal RNA (253 nucleotides) under uncultured bacterium. RNAcentral's name for it is "partial 16S ribosomal RNA". It matches the Rfam family "Bacterial small subunit ribosomal RNA", at positions 524 to 776 of the family's 1533-position model. The record is from RNAcentral.
UACGUAGGGUGCGAGCGUUGUCCGGAAUUAUUGGGCGUAAAGAGCUCGUAGGCGGUUUGUUGCGUCGGCCGUGAAAACCUGCAGCUUAACUGUGGGCCUGCGGCCGAUACGGGCAGACUUGAGUUCGGUAGGGGAGACUGGAAUUCCUGGUGUAGCGGUGAAAUGCGCAGAUAUCAGGAGGAACACCGGCGGCGAAGGCGGCCACCUGGACGAGGACUGACGCUGAGAUGCGAAAGCGUGGGGAGCAAACAGG